GAACGAUCCAAGCCUUCUAGAACAACUAAGGCACCUCUAGACUCGUUUAUGUUUCCCUCCAUGCUACAAUUAAGCUUUCUUCCUUCCAUUGUUAUCUUCCUAGGAGAACACUUAGAGGAGAAUUUCACUCGAGAAUUCAAUGAAUUCUGCAACAGUACUAGUGGUGUGAAACUCCUGAAUGUGCCAUAGAUCAUAUCAACAAAAACUGUAAAUGUACAAGUGUUGCGCACACUAGCUGUAACACCUACCUACCUCCUUUGCUUCAAUUUGAUGUGGAUUGAUGGAAGGGGGUGGAUUCCCACUCAAAACAGCCAGCAAUUUCGCGAUCUUGAUGUUCCUGGUAGGGUUUUUGCGAAGAGAGUGGCAUCAACUUGCAGCGGCGUACUCCGACGGCGACG
Molecule: long non-coding RNA, 398 nt
Filed under: Lotus japonicus
Lineage: Eukaryota; Viridiplantae; Streptophyta; Magnoliopsida; Fabales; Fabaceae
Description: long non-coding RNA (LJAP_LNC001017)
Source: RNAcentral